Molecule: ribosomal RNA, 720 nt
Filed under: uncultured bacterium
Lineage: Bacteria
Description: bacterial SSU rRNA
Rfam family: Bacterial small subunit ribosomal RNA
Source: RNAcentral
CGCGAAAGUGGAGCAAUCCAUGAGUAGAGUGGCAAACGGGUGAGUAACACGUGGGUGACCUGCCUUCGAGUGGGGGAUAACGUCCCGAAAGGGACGCUAACACCGCAUGACAUCCUGCCUUUGGAAAGGCGGAGAUCAAAGCUGGGGAUCGCAAGACCUGGCGCUUGAAGAGGGGCCCGCGCCUGAUUAGCUAGUUGGUGAGGUAAUGGCUCACCAAGGCGACGAUCAGUAUCCGGCCUGAGAGGGCGGACGGACACACUGGGACUGAGACACGGCCCAGUCUCCUACGGGAGGCAGCAGUGGGGAAUUGUUCGCAAUGGGCGCAAGCCUGACGACGCAACGCCGCGUGGAGGACGAAGAUCUUCGGGUCGUAAACUCCUGUCGAGCGGGACGAACACCCAUCCGGUGAAUAUCCGGGAGGGCUGACGGUACCGCUAAAGGAAGCCCCGGCUAACUCCGUGCCAGCAGCCGCGGUAAUACGGGGGGGGCAAGCGUUGUUCGGAAUUACUGGGCGUAAAGGGCUCGUAGGCGGCCAACUAAGUCGGACGUGAAAUCCCCAGGCUCAACUUGGGAACUGCGUCCGAUACUGGAUGGCUUGAAUUCGGGAGAGGGAUGCGGAAUUCCAGGUGUAGCGGUGAAAUGCGUAGAUAUCUGGAGGAACACCGGUGGCGAAGGCGGCAUCCUGGACCGACAUUGACGCUGAGUGAGCGAAAGCUAGGG